AACGUAGGAGGCGAGCGUUAUCCGGAUUUACUGGGCGUAAAGCGCGGGCAGGUGGUGGCUUAAGUCAUGCGUGAAAGCUCCUGGCUCAACCGGGAGAGGUCGUGUGAAACUGGGUCACUGGAGGCAGGGAGAGGUCGACGGAAUUCCGGGUGGAGUGGUGAAAUGCGUAGAGAUCCGGAGGAACACCAGUGGCGAAGGCGGUCGGCUGGCCCUGACCUGACACUCAGCCGCGAAAGCAUGGGGAGCGAACGGGAUUAGAAACCCCCGUAGUCC
Molecule: ribosomal RNA, 273 nt
Filed under: uncultured bacterium
Lineage: Bacteria
Description: partial 16S ribosomal RNA
Rfam family: Bacterial small subunit ribosomal RNA
Source: RNAcentral